RNAcentral lists this long non-coding RNA (11721 nucleotides) under Coffea arabica (coffee). Its description in RNAcentral is "long non-coding RNA (CARA_LNC006415)". Lineage: Eukaryota; Viridiplantae; Streptophyta; Magnoliopsida; Gentianales; Rubiaceae. The record is from RNAcentral.
UUUUUUUUUUUUUUUUUUUUUCAAGUCCUGUUCUAUUAUACUAAGAGGGUUUUAGGGAAGAAAGGGAAAUCCAAUUCUAUUACGAAGGCAACUAAUAAUAAUGAGAUUAGUUUGGAUUCUAUUACUUUUUUGUUGCAGAACUGUCUGCUGACCUGUCAAGUUGCAAUAAAAUUUAUAAUUUUGAUAUAGAAAUCGAACUCUUUGUCAGGGAGAAAUAGUUAAUUUUGAGAUAGAAAUCAAAUUCUCGAGAAUUCAUUGAAAAAUUUAAGACCUUAUUCGGAUUGCUGUUUUUCGUCGAAAAAUUACGUCGUUUUCCGUAAUCACAUUUUCCUAUUAUCUUUUUUUCUCACGUACAUUAAAUCGCUAGAGUAAUUUUUUCGUGAAAAAUCAUGAAAAAUGCAAUCCAAACACAACCUUAAUAUGUAAGUCAGGAACUCAACUCCGAUUCAAAACGUCAAACUAUUAGGUUUCGAAUCCUUAUGUAUAUAUUAACCGUUCUUUCUUUCUGUAUCUCUCAAAUUAACAUAAAACAUAAUUUUUUUAUUCAUGCAUCUAAAUGUCUUGCUUCUUGGCAACAACUGAGUUUCCAAGUUGUCAGUAAUAAGCAGCUAAUGAUCUCAAAAAAAGAAUAGAUAAAAAAAAAAAAAAAGAAGGGAUUGUUCUCUUCCUUUAUAUAACUCACUCUGAAUCUGGUCAGUUCAUUCUACAAUUAGCCCCACCAACAAGGGACAAACUGACAAUCAGGAACAAACAAACAAACAACCAUUACACCCCCAUAAUUGCAAGAUUAGCCACUAGAUUACAAGUUUCCAGACACUUAAAGUGCCCCCAAAAGGGCAAAAAAAAAAGAAAAAGAAAUAGUAAUUCCUAAACUAAAGCCCCACCACACCAUCUUUCUCAACUCUCAAGUCUUUAGUGAGUGAAAAGACAUUACCACCCUUUUACCAGCAUUAAACCAUGUUUGACUCCUCUUUUCUCUCACACUCGCACUCAUCAGCCUAUCUGUCUCCCUCUAAAAAUCUCUGCUAAAUUUUGGCAGUUACCUUUUAUAUUUUUCUCUCCUCAAUAAAAAAAAAAAAAAAAAAAACUUUAGCACCAAUCGCUCGGGUGCUACAAACUACGGCAUUAUUUGGUAAGCAAGUUUUUGGUUAAAUUUAUCUGUUAUAAAUUUUUUAAUAAUUUUAACUACAGUAAUCUUCAUUUUUUAAAAAUAUUCAAAAAUUUAUAUAUUUUAAAAUUAUUUUUUUGUAAUUUCUAUAAUAAUUUAUAAUUAAAUUUUAAACAAAUAAUCAAAAAUAUCACUUACCAAACAGGCCUGCGACUACAACAACAACCAGGAGAAGUAUACCACCACCAAUAACAACAACAUUUUGCUAGACACAAGAAUCACCAUCAUCUCUACUUCCUCGAGCCCCAAGCCCCCCUCAACCUUCCUACCUUCUCCCUUGAUUCUCUCUCUCUAUUUUUAUCUCUUUCUCAAGCGUUUUUAACCAAUUAGAUUACUUUUUAGGGAUAAUUGCAAAAACCUCUCUUGAGAUUUCUAACAUUUGCACUGACCUCCCCUGUAGUUUGAAAAAUUACACUGACCUUCCUGAGAUUACUAAUCCUUUGCAAAUUUAGUCCAAACGAUUAAAAUAUUAUUUUAGGGAGUGAAAUUAGAAUUUUGUACCAGAUUUGCCCUUUUGUGCUACAUAUCCAAUGAAUGACAAAGUACUAUAAAUCAAUUAAUAAUUAAUAAAUUUUAAGGAGUAUAAUUUAUGGACAAACACGCGUUACUCAUUUAAAGUACCAACUCUUUACGAGUAUUUUACUUUCAAAUAUUUAAUUUAUGAUAAAUAUAUCAAUGUUUGUAAGUAAAAUUCAAAAAUUUUUAUAGUAAUGUUCUUGCAAAAAGGAAAUCGAUAAGUUAUUUAUUUAAUAUAAAUUAAAUAUUUUUUUAAAAAUAAAUGGCCCAUAAAGUAUUAAUUUUUUAUGACUUUCAUCAAUUACACGAAUAAAGUAUUCGCUCUUUAUGUGUAUUUUAUUUUGAAUCAUUUAAUUUAUGUUAAAUACAAAUGUUUGUAACUAAAAUUGAAAAAGUGUUAUAUUAAUAUUUUACGGAAGAGAGAUUGGUGGGUUUUGUAUUUAAAAAAAAUUAAAUAUUUGAAAGUAAAUAUAAAUAUGUAUUUGAGCGUAAAUAUUUUUAUUAAAUUAAAUGUUUGAAAGUAAAAUACCCUUAAAGAACCGGUACUUUAAAUAGUUACCGACUCUUUAUAGGCAAACACGUAUUACUCAUUUAAAGCACCGGUUUUUUACGGAUAUUUUACUUUCAAACAUUUAAUUUAUGAUAAAUAUAUCAAUGUUUAUUAGUAAAAUUCAAAAAGUGUUAAAGUAAUAUUCUUGUAAAAGGAAAUCGGUAGGUUAUUUAUUUAAUAUAAAUUAAAUAUAUAUUUUUUAAAAUGACCAUAAAGUAUUAAUUCUUUGUGACUUUCAUCCAUUACAUAAGUAAAGUAUUGGCUCUUUAUGGGUAUUUUAUUCUGAAUCAUUUAAUUUAUGUUAAAUACAUAAAUGUUUGUAACUAAAAUUGAAAAAGUGUUAUAUUAAUAUUUUUACGGAAGAGAUAUUGGUAGUUUUUGUAUUUAACAAAAAUUAAAUAUUUGAAAGUAAAUACAAUUAUGUAUUUGAGCAUAAAUAUUUGUAUUAAAUUAAAUGUUUGAAAGUAAAAUACCCAUAAAGAGUCGGUACUUUAAAUAGGUAAUGCAUAUUUGUCUAUAAACUAUACUCCUUAAAGUUUAUUAAUUGUUAAUUGAUUUGUAGUAUUUUAUCAUUCAUUGAACAUGUAGUACAAAUGACAAAUUUAGUAAAAAAUUAUAAUUUCACUUCCUAAAACAAUAUUUUAAUCGUUUGGAAUGAAUUUGCAAAGGAUUAGUAACCUCAGGGGAGGUCAGUGUAAUUUUUCAAACUAUAAGGAAGGUCAGUGCAAAUAUUAGAAACCUCAGGGGAGGUUUCUGCAAUUAUCCCUUAUACUUUUUAUUACCAGAAAAUUCCCAGUGUCUAAGCCUUCAUCUAUAAUAGUGCUAGGAACUUCUUCAACAGUAUCCCUUUGUUUAUCAUAAUUUUUUUAUAUCUGCAGAACAAAAGUUGAAAUGAGAAGAUGAAAUUGGUAGUAAAAGAAAAUAUCCCCUCCUUCCCUUCCUGUUUGUUGUGACUAGCGACAGGUCCCUCUCUUUCUCUGACUGUGAGACCACCUCCUUUUUUUUUUUUUUUGUGCAGAAUCUCUGUUUUUGUGCGUGUCUGUGUGUGAUAUGUAAUGCAUGUGUGUGUGUGUGAGACUAGUGACCAGUGCCGCCUCCCUCGUUUACAGAAGAAAAAACCCAACUUUUUCCUCCCUCCUCUCCCCGGUCUGAAAUGGCUCAAUGUGGGCUGAUCUGCGACCAUGUUCAAGAACCUAUUUUUUUGGCCGGAACCAUCUUUCGACUUCCAGAUGGAAAGCGGGCAGGUCUAAACCUUCCCUGAAAGGCAAACUUUUUUCCCCUUAUUUCGCUGAAAAUCCAAAGUUUUUCGACCCACAUUGCUCCAAGACUCCACCUUUUCUUUACCGUCUUUUAGAUAUACCCAUUUCCCCGAUAUUUUCUCGUAAACAGGAGAGAAAUGGGGUGUGUGGCUUCCAGGUUAGAAGAGGAAGAGGAAGUAGUGUCCAUAUGCAGAGAUAGAAAGCACCAGCUGAAGUUGGCUGUAGAGAGAAGAUAUGCUCUGGCAGAUGCACAUUAUAGAUACUGUCAAGCACUCUAUGGUGUCUCAGCAGCUAUUAGGCUCUUUGUUGCUCGCCAUUCUUCUCCUGCUUCUCCAUUUAUGAUCACUUUUCCACCUCCUACUCCACCUUCUCCUCCCCCAGAAAAUGUGGUCUCCAACCCCCUGUUCCUUCAGCAAACACCAUCGGAACCAACCAAGGAAGCUCUUACCUGUGAGUCCUGCGAGUCUUCAACUGCAUCAGACUCUUCAGAGGAGGAAAUAGAAGAAAGAGUGGAGAAAGAAGAACCGCCCUCUUGUGGGUAUUUUUACAUGGAAAUGCCUCAAUCAAUGCCCUCUCCACAUAGAGAUUUUGGUUGGGAUUUUUUUAACCCUUUUACUAGCGUUAGGCCAGAGAUAAUAAAUGGGUAUAAUCGGAUAUCUGAGGAGGAUUUGAGGGUUGUUAGGGAGCGAGAAGGAAUUCCCGAAUUGGAAGAAGAAGGGGAAAGAUUUGAGGAAGAAAGUAAUGCAGUAGUGGUAGAAGAGAAAUUGGGUGGGCGGCAUCAUGAGGAAAGCAGCAGGGUUGAGGUUGCCAAGGCAGUGAAUGAUAGUAAUGUGAGCCAGGUGGAGCAAAAGGGCUUAACUGUCAUUGACACGCCUGUGAGAGGGAGAGAGUUGUUGGAAGCUCUUCAGGAUAUUGAAGACCAUUUUAUCAGAGCUUACGAUUCUGGCAAGGAAUUGUCUAGAAUGUUAGAGGUCAAUAGGGUCCAGCUGCAAUCUAACUUGGAGGAGAUAAAAGGUAUAAACUAUUUCUUCCGUCCUUCUUUUCAACCAACUAAAUUAUAGGCGCAUGUGUCCUGUGUGCUGUUUUCGAUUGUAAUGAUGUGUUAGCCGUCAACUUUCGUUUACUUGGUUAACAUACUACAAGCAUAUCGUUACAUUUUUCUUGAAUUUUUGCUUCAGAGACUUGGAGAUGAUAAGGUGGUAUGACCUCCAAGUCCUAAUGUGCUGCUGUAAAUUUUUUCUCUCCUACGGUCCUACCUUGGAAAGUUACAUUUGGCUUCAGAGUGCUUUAGUCGUGUUUAUCACUACGUAUUGUUCUUUCUGUAUGUCUGGUGGGUUCUACAUUGUCUACCUUUAAGUAAGUGUGUAGCAUGCUUCUGUUAACCUUUACAAAUACCCUGCAUCACCUUUGCGCCUUUAUAUUUUGACAGCAAAAGAACUUGUAAUAGUUCACAGUGACAUUUUUAUGGGGCACAUUCACUCUCUUCUAUCGCAACCCAGUAUAGAUUGCAUGUCUUUUGCAAGUAUCAUCCGUGUUACGGAAAUGUACUUUAAAAGAUAAAUAACAAUGAAAGAUAAAUAACCCAGUGAGAUUGUUACAGAAAUGUCCUUUACUUGCUAUGGAAAUGGCAAUUAAUUUCAGAUGUUGAAGUACUGAAUUCUUUUCUGAUAAGGCUGAGUUCAUGUAUGGCAUGAUGAGUUUGCUUUUUCAGUUUUUUUUUUGGCAUUUUUUUCAUUCAUUUCUGAUUUGCAUAUUUAAAGAUUGCAACUUUUACUUCCAGUUGCCAAUGAUGCAAUCGUACUAAAGCAAAUCUUGAUUCAUUUCUUGUGUGGAUCAGAGAACUCAACAAAAUUGAUCCAGGCUAUAACUUGGCGAUCCACUUCUUCUCGUUCUUCAUCAUGUAAGAGUCUUGUAGCGUCGAGUUCCAAAAACUGUUUGACAUGGACUGAAUUCAAGAAUGAUCUUUUUGAUGAUUAUGGAGGAAUGGAUUCUGGAAGCCAUUCGCUGACAUUGGGAAGGAUAUAUGCUUGGGAGAAGAAGCUCUAUGAAGAAGUUAAGGUAGAUGAUAUAGUUCUUGCCAUAACUUUCGUCCUUGUUCUCUUCCCAUUUAGUUUAUGGCAUUUGACCUGAAAUUUGUUUGCCCUCAGGCUGGGGACAACACUAGGCAACUAUAUGAGAGGAAAUGCAAUCAACUAAGAAACCAAGAUGCCAGAGGAGUUGAAGGGGCCACUGUAGAUAAAACAAGAGCAGCAGUGAAAGAUUUGUAUAGCAGGAUCCUUGUUGCAAUUCGAAGUGCUGAAACCAUAUCCCAAAGAAUUGAGAAACUCAGGGACGAGGAGCUCCAGCCCCAAAUUAUGGAACUGCUUCAAGGGUAAGGAGGUAUUCUGGAGUGAAAGAAGGAAGAUUACCUGAUACGCUUACUAAUAUUGUCACCUGGUUUGCUGAAAGUGUUUUACUUUGCUGCAGCAUGAUGAGGUGCUGGAAAACCAUGUUGGAAUCCCAUGAAAUCCAGAAUAAGAUCAUGUUUGAAGUGAAAACUUUCACAUGUCCUACAUUUGGAAAGUUCUGCAAUGAUUCUCACCGGCUUUCAACUCUGCAGCUUGGUGCUGAGCUUCGGAAUUGGCGGACAUGCUUUACCGAAUAUGUUGCAUCCCAGAAGGCAUACGUUGAAGCACUGCAUGGCUGGAUUUCAAAGUUUAUUGUCCCUGAAGUUGAAUUCUAUUCGAGAAGCAGAAUUUCUGCUCCACCAUGUCGAGAAAAUGGACCACCUCUUCUUACCAUUUGCCGUGAUUGGUUAGCUUCCCUGGACAAAUUGCCUGACAAGGAUGUUGGCUCUGCCUUAAGAAGCUGUGAAAAGGAUAUUAGAGCUCUGUGGGUUCAGCAGGGAGAGGAACAGCAACAGAAAAGGAAAGUUGAUAGCCUGUCUAAAGAACUAGAUAGAAAGAUUCUUGUAUUUCAGAAGGCUGAGAAUAAAUUUCAUGAAUUAAAGUCAACAGAUCAUAAAUUGGAUCUGGAGAGUGAUCGUGGGGCUGAGUGCUUUAAAGAGAGGAAGGAUUUAUUGGACAACUUCAGGGGAAAAGUUGACAUGGAAAAGGAAAACCACCAGAACUGCAUGCAAGAAACUCAAAGGAUAACGUUGAAUGGAUUUCAGACAGGUUUUGGCAGAGUGUUCGAGUCUAUGACAGAGUUUUCCAAGAUUACAUUGAAAAUGUUUAAUGAUCUAUCAAGCAGCAGUCACGAUGCUGAGAAAUUCGGCAGCGUGUCGUAUUCCAAAGGCUCCCAACUUGAAGAUGGCAAAAGGUGACCUCGCAAAAUGAAGUGGAGAUGCUGUGACUGACAUGGCUCGGGCUUUCUUCUUAUUCUUUUUCCCCGUUCCUUUCAUUUUGAAUUCUUUUAGGCUGAACGCCCGAUUGAAGGGUAUUGUACACUGGGAAUGCGUCUAAGCAGCUCGCUGAGAUGCUCUUAGUUGUGUUUGUACUCGGAAGUAGGGGGCACUGGGAGUUUCCCUCCUGCCUUGUAGAUGUUCUGUUGCCAAAGUUUGUAGCCUAUUUCCUCAUUCUCACAUCUCUAUGGGCGAAAAAUCCAUGUAAGCUGGGAGAUUGGGUGGGCAGCCCAUGUGCCUACAUGUUCCCGCAACUUUGGAGGAUUGGAGUAUGUGGUCGAAUUUGUAAAAUAGUCUCAUUUUACCAAGGGUAAGAAGAUGGUUAAGAAUUGAAUAUAUCCCCAUAUUAGUUAUAGUUUACUUUUGAUAUUCAUCGGUAUUCCCAGCUGUGUUUGUCACUUGAGAUCUUCGGUGACAUGUUUUCUAUGCCAAUUCAAUGCCACCAAUAAUGUUGCGCCAAGUGUCAUGUUAUUAUUUACACUUUAAUUUUCUAAUAAUUUAACUUGACUUGAUUUAACAUAAGUGUAUAUAAUAACAUGACACUUGGCGUAACAUUAUUGGUGACAUUGAGUUUGGCAUAGAAAACAUGUCACCGAGAAUUCCAAGUAGGAAAUGGUACCUACGUACGAUGCAAGAAUAGGAGGCGCAGUAUAGCAAAUAUAUAGACUUGACUAGAUUAAAGGGGUGCUCGGACAUCUCUUUUUUAGAAUUUUUUCAUUACAGGUGGGAUUCGAAUCCUUGACUAACAAUCUAAAAAGAGAUAUUAAAGGGGUGCUCGGACAUCUCUUUUAGAAUUUUUUCAUUGCAGGCGAGAUUCGAAUCUUUGACUUGCAGUCUAAAGAGAGAUUUAGUCCAUUUUUUAUAGUACUGAGUUUUGGUUCAGUGGUUUGGUCACCAGUAUUGACUAUAGGAGCUAUUAUUUGACAAUUGUAAUAACAUGUAUGGGUCAUGGUCUAGAGGCGUUUAUUUCAUGUGAGGCCCUGAUGAAAUCUAAAGAAAGCGUUGGGAUAUUCAGUGCCAUUAUCAGUGUCAAUCUCCAUGCGAGGAUAAAGGAAAUUUAAAUUAAAUCAAACCAAUUAGAAUUAUUAAAAAAAUUAAAGAGCACACAAUAACUUAAAUAAAAAAAAAAUUUGGGAUAAAUAUUGAAGUAGUCUCGCUUAUCGCGUGAGGGUAAAGGAAAUUUAAGUUAAAUAAAACCAAUUUGAGUUAUUACAAAAAAAAAAAAAAUUAAAGAACACAUGACAACUAAAAUAAAUAGGAAACUCGAUAUAAGUAUAGAAGUGACAUCGAGAAUUUUCAUGCGCUAAAGAAAGGUGUUAUUGAUGAUUGCAUCUCGUUAUUUGGCUAUAUUUUUCAGCCCUAGAUCUUAAAAGCACGAGGAGGCAUGAAUGUUACACUCCAUAAUUUUUUUUUUCCCUUUUAAUGCAAACUAUAAAAUUUUAUUGAUGAAGCAAUGAAAUUAUACCAAAAAGUCAAGAAAACCUGCUGAGAAACACACUACUAGUUUCAAUUGGAAGAAAGUGAUCAGAAAUAAAACUCAAGCAGUACCAACCAAAGAAAAGGGUAAACUCAGUCACAAAACUGAGUCUCAAUCUGCCUAUGGCCUGAAGACCCCAGCCCAGCAACCGCCCACAGCUUAGAUAGAGUCUGUGGUCUGAGUGUCCCAACCAGCAACAGCGCCUCAAAUAGGGUCCAAAAUAGCAGCCACGGUUGCCCGCUCCAUGAACAGGAACUUGCUGGCACAAGGCAGGAGAAUCUUAGAUGGUUUUCGCAAAAAAAUUUCGUGAAACAUUCUCACGAUAUAUUUUUCAAUCAUUUUUUUUUCUCAUAUGCAUCCUAUUAUAUCAUUUACUAAUAUAUUUCAAAAAAGAAAAAAACUGACAUAUUACAUUGGGAGUCCGGCAUCAGGUUUCUACAUGUACCAAAUGCGUCUUUUCCUUGAGAGCUGAGGGGCCAUAGUGCUAAACUGUUUGGAAGAGGUCACAAAAACGCAAAAACAGCAGCAUGCAGACAGUAAUAUUUGUUUAUAACUACUUUAUUCUCUACCGUUUUUACCGUAGCACUUUUUACAAUAAUAUUUGUUUGGAUUGUAAGUUAUUUGAGAUAUUUUUACUGUAGCACUUUUUGUGAUGUGAUGUAUGUGAGAUAAAAAGGUAAUCGGGAAGAUAAAAAGGUAAUCGGGAAGAUAAAAAGGUAUAUUGAAAAUUAUAAUGAUAAUGUAAGCAAAUAAAAUUGGAAAAAUAAUGCUCAAUCCAAACAAACCUCAGGAAUGGUUAUUAUUCUGAGUAAUACAUUUCCGCACUACUUUCAUUAAUAUUUCAUUUCAUACAGAUAUAAUAAUGUAACUUCUUAUACUACUAUGUUUUAAGACUCAGACAGGGUAAUGACUCAGCCAAAUUUACAGGUCAGGGGUCAAUGGAUUAGAUUGGGGUUGAACCUGUUUAAGAAUCGAAUGACAUGAUCAUGAUGGCAUAAAUAUGUAUUAAAUAUAUAUAACGUUAAAUGCUAUAAAGAGUACAUACGCUUUGGUAUUUUCCUUUUUUCUUACACAUUUUCUUCGUAUCAUACACACCCAAAACAAAACCAACUUUGAAAACUCGAGCACGUAUAACCCAACCAAUAACCUCACAAAUUAGAAAUAACACAUAGCUUAAUGAAAUUCAAAAGCAUUAAAGUCCGAACCCAAUUUGAUAUUUUCAAAUUCUAAUUCUAUAACUAAAUGUGUGAGACUUAUUUGAAAACAGACAUCAAAAUUGAUGAUGCAACUGACAUUAGAAAAAGUUUUAGGAACUUUGAUAAUAAUUUAAAAACUAGUAGGGGAAAAAUGAAAUGUUCAAAAACUUAAGGUAGCCAUCUCUAGUUUCUCACUCUAUGCCCUACGUAUGCUAUCAAUAUAAUUGCGUUCACGUUUCUGCUUAUUCCCUCUCUUUUCACUCUUUCGUUUUCUUGCUUUCCUUGUGUCUUUUAAUCUUUUCUUUCAUCAAAUCUGUCUUGUAGUUCUGGGUUUUCAUCUUUGAUCCUCUUUUCUAUAUUUAUCAAACAAAAACAUGAAAACUUAUUAAUUUCGUUCUCUUCUAUCCAUUUGCAUUUCUCUUUUUCUUCUCUUAUUUUGCUUCUUGAUCUUAGAUCUGCAAAAUUUCCUUCUUCAUCUUAGAUUUGUGUUAUUACUUUUUUAGAUCUAUAAAUGGCAGCAAGUCCACUGUUAUAGAUUUGCUUGAAAAGCAGGGAAAGAAAGGUUGAUUCUUCUUCUUCGUCUUCUUCUUCUUUUUUUUGGGAAAAUAAGUUGCAAAACUUUAGGAAACCAAAAUUCGGGUCUUCAAAAUCCCGGGUUUUCUCGGUUCAACCCGGUUGUUAACCGGAUUUGACCGAGUCUUUCGUCAGCCAGCCAGUUUUCUAGCUAAGCUUGGCCUGGAUGCCUAACCGGUUUCUGGUUCAAUCGGUUGAAUCGAUCGAUUCAUUCCGAGUUUGAAAACCAUGUCUGACUCCUUUUCUUCCCGUUGUGUUGCAAUGGAACCCCUUUUAUCACUUUAAUAAUAAUAAUGAUAAAUAAUAAUGAGAGAAAUAGAAAAAGAAAAUAGGGUAGAGUAGCUUAAUUGAGGUUUCCUUUCUCUUCAAUUGAUACUCUAGUACCACUUCAUACUUUUGUUGACUUUUUUUUUUGCUUUUCUUGUUUCUUUUCGGUGCUAAUUUCCACAGGCAAGAAUUUUUAGCAGCAGAUAGGUAGUUACAGAUAGGGGUGUAAACGAAUCGAGCUGCUUGCGAGCGGCUCGAUUCAAAUUUGAGUUGAUGGAGUUAAAAUCGAGUUUGAACUCAAAACAUUAACCGAGUUUCGUUAGCUCGCGAUUUCGAAUAUACAUAUAUAUAAAUAUUUUUUUAUUUUUAUUUAAUAGUAAAAUUAUAUGAAUAUUUUUAAUAUUUUAUUAUUUAUUAAAAAAUUAUUUUAUUUAUUUUUUAAAAGAAUAAAAUAAUUUUUUUUUAUUUUUUUCGAGUUCGAGCUUAAAAAUUGUCAAGCUCGACGAGUUUGAGUUCGAUGAAAUUAAGUCAAGGUUCGACUUGAUUAGAUCAAAACUCGACUCGACUCGACUCGUUUGCAGCCUUAGAUACAGGCAUGAUCCUUGGCCUGGCACCAUUUUCAUAUCAGGCAAUGAACAGGUUAACCAACUUAACCAUCCAUCAUCCAUCUAAUUAAGUUGGCCAAUCCUUGAUUGCAUUCAUGGCAUGGCUUGUUUGGUGAUUCCAUCUCCUUUUUUGCUCAUUAUUCAUCCUGAUUCCUAAAUGAUCAACCCAAAAACAAAAAAAAAGAACGCCACCACGAUUCUUAAUAUAUUCUCCAAAUAAUGAAACUCGACCGCAUUCUGUGCUCCCUUGCUUCCUGCGCGCAUAUAGGAAAGAUGGGAAUUAUAAGUGAUAGCUGCAUCCAUGCAAAGCCAACAGUCAAAGCUCAAUAAAGAUCUGCAGACCCUGAAAAACAAGCUAAUUCACUUCGUUAAUAACCAAGCCAUUUGGCUUUUCGCGACAUCUUAUGUAAGGUACCGAACAGGAUGGCGAACUCUCUUGACGCCUCCCAUAAUCCAUAUCUACUGCAGCGUGAGCACAACUAUGGCAGAGAUGGCAGUAAGUUUGCACCAGAGGCACAAAUGCUAUACGUCCCCAACAAUCUAUUCAAAAAUAAAUGUUCAAUUUGUACACGGUGUGGGUGAUACGUAUUCUAGACAUGCAUACAGGAAGAGAGACCGAGAAGAGAUUAAGCUCGGCACUUCUAGUUAUUAUGCAGCCCAAGACUUGUCCUAUCUCAAGUACAAGGAAACCAAAAACUGAGAGAGAAGCACAAAUUCGCUCACAACAG